GGCCGGUUGGCCCAAUGGUAAGGCGUCUGACUACGACACUCUCCAACAGGAGUUGCGGUAAUCAGGAGAUUCUGGGUUCGAGCCCCAGGCUGGUCA
Non-coding RNA from Melanopsichium pennsylvanicum, 96 nucleotides. NCBI's taxonomy places the organism in Eukaryota, Fungi, Basidiomycota, Ustilaginomycetes, Ustilaginales. The record is from the annotation of a GenBank genome assembly.